GGGUCGUAAACCCCUUUCAGCAGGGACGAAAUUGACGGUACCUGCAGAAGAAGCGCCGGCCAACUACGUGCCAGCAGCCGCGGUAAUACGUAGGGCGCAAGCGUUGUCCGGAUUCAUUGGGCGUAAAGGGCUCGUAGGCGGUUUGGUAAGUCGGGUGUGAAAACUCAGGGCUCAACUCUGAGACGCCACUCGAUACUGCCAUGACUAGAGUCCGGUAGGGGAGUGUAGAAUUCCUGGUGUAGCGGUGAAAUGCGCAGAUAUCAGGAGGAAUACCGAUAGCGAAGGCAGCACUCUGGGCCGGUACUGACGCUGAGGAGCGAAAGCGUGGGGAGCAAACAGGAUUAGAUACCCUGGUAGUCCACGCCGUAAACGUUGGG
RNAcentral lists this ribosomal RNA (377 nucleotides) under uncultured Actinomycetes bacterium. Its description in RNAcentral is "bacterial SSU rRNA". It matches the Rfam family "Bacterial small subunit ribosomal RNA", at positions 420 to 813 of the family's 1533-position model. The record is from RNAcentral. Lineage: Bacteria; Bacillati; Actinomycetota; Actinomycetes.